CACGUAGGGUGCGAGCGUUGUCCGGAAUUAUUGGGCGUAAAGAGCUCGUAGGCGGUGUGUCGCGUCGGCCGUGAAAACCUGCAGCUUAACUGUGGGCUUGCGGUCGAUACGGGCAUCACUGGAGUUCGGCAGGGGAGACUGGAAUUCCUGGUGUAGCGGUGAAAUGCGCAGAUAUCAGGAGGAACACCGGUGGCGAAGGCGGUUCUCUGGGCAUUACCUGACGCUGAGGAGCGAAAGCGUGGGGAGCGAACAGG
RNAcentral lists this ribosomal RNA (254 nucleotides) under uncultured bacterium. Its description in RNAcentral is "partial 16S ribosomal RNA". It matches the Rfam family "Bacterial small subunit ribosomal RNA", at positions 524 to 776 of the family's 1533-position model. The record is from RNAcentral.